GACGAACGCUGGCGGCGUGCUUAACACAUGCAAGUCGAACGAAGAGCGACGGAAGCUUGCUUCUAUCAAUAUUAGUGGCGAACGGGUGAGUAACGCGUAAUCAACCUGCCCUUCAGAGGGGGACAACAGUUGGAAACGACUGCUAAUACCGCAUACGAUCUAACCUCGGCAUCGAGGAUAGAUGAAAGGUGGCCUCUACAUGUAAGCUAUCACUGAAGGAGGGGAUUGCGUCUGAUUAGCUAGUUGGAGGGGUAACGGCCCACCAAGGCGAUGAUCAGUAGCCGGUCUGAGAGGAUGAACGGCCACAUUGGGACUGAGACACGGCCCAGACUCCUACGGGAGGCAGCAGUGGGGAAUCUUCCGCAAUGGACGAAAGUCUGACGGAGCAACGCCGCGUGAGUGAUGACGGCCUUCGGGUUGUAAAGCUCGGUUAAUCGGGACGAAAGGCCUUCUUGCGAAUAGUGAGAAGGAUUGACGGUACCGGAAUAGAAAGCCACGGCUAACUACGUG
RNAcentral lists this ribosomal RNA (510 nucleotides) under uncultured bacterium. Its description in RNAcentral is "partial 16S ribosomal RNA". It matches the Rfam family "Bacterial small subunit ribosomal RNA", at positions 28 to 507 of the family's 1533-position model. The record is from RNAcentral.